RNAcentral lists this ribosomal RNA (1280 nucleotides) under metagenome. RNAcentral's name for it is "bacterial LSU rRNA". It matches the Rfam family "Bacterial large subunit ribosomal RNA", at positions 1564 to 2857 of the family's 2925-position model. The record is from RNAcentral.
UGAAUACGAGAUGCUACGGCGUCGAAGCAGUCUAUGUCAUACUUCCAAGAAAAGCUUGCACUGUCAUAAACAAAUAAUGCCUGUACCAUAACCGACACAGGUGGGUAGGUAGAGUAUACUAAGGGGCGCGAGAUAACUCUCUCUAAGGAACUCGGCAAAAUGACUCCGUAACUUCGGGAGAAGGAGUGCCUUAUUUAUAAGGUUGCAAUAACAAGACCCAAGCAACUGUUUAUCAAAAACACAGGUCUCCGCUAAGUCGUAAGACGAUGUAUGGGGGCUGACGCCUGCCCAGUGCCAGAAGGUUAAAGAAGUUGGUUAGCAUUAGCGAAGCUGAUGACUGAAGCCCUGGUGAACGGCGGCCGUAACUAUAACGGUCCUAAGGUAGCGAAAUUCCUUGUCGGGUAAGUUCCGACCCGCACGAAAGGCGUAAUGAUUUGGGUACUGUCUCAGAGAGGGACUCGGUGAAAUAGACUUGUCUGUGAAGAUGCGGACUACCUGCACCUGGACAGAAAGACCCUAUGAAGCUUUACUGUAACCUGAAAUUGAAAUUGGACUUUAUUUGCGCAGUAUAGGUGGGAGGCUUUGAAGAUAUUCUUGCGGGAAUGUUGGAGCCAUCAGUGAGAUACCACUCUUGUAAUGUUAGAUUUCUAACUUUGUAUCAUUAUCUGGUCAAAGAACAGUUUCAGGCGGGCAGUUUGACUGGGGCGGUCGCCUCCUAAACGGUAACGGAGGCGCACAAAGGUUUCCUCUGAACGGGUAGAAAUCGUAUCUAGAGUGUAAAGGCAUAAGGAAGCUUGACUGUGAGACCUACAAGUCGAGCAGGGACGAAAGUCGGUCUUAGUGAUCUGACGGUGCUGAGUGGAAAGGCCGUCACUCAACGGAUAAAAGUUACUCUAGGAUAACAGGCUGAUCUCCCCCAAGAGUUCACAUCGACGGGGAGGUUUGGCACCUCGAUGUCGGCUCAUCGCAUCCUGGGGCGGUAGUACGUCCCAAGGGUUGGGCUGUUCGCCCAUGAAAGCGGUACGCGAGCUGGGUUCAGAACGUCGUGAGACAGUUCGGUCCAUAUCCGGUGUAGGCGUUAGAAUAUUGAGAGGAGCCUUCUCUAGUACGAGAGGACCGAGAAGGACACACCUCUGGUGUACCAGUUAUCGUGCCAACGGUAAACGCUGGGUAGCUAUGUGUGGAGCGGAUAACCGCUGAAAGCAUCUAAGUGGGAAGCCCACCUCAAGAUAAGUAUUCUCACCAUAUUGGUUAAGGUCACGGGUAGAACACCCGUUGAU